UACGUAGGUGGCGAGCGUUGUCCGGAUUUACUGGGCGUAAAGGGAGCGUAGGCGGACUUUUAAGUGAGAUGUGAAAUACCCGGGCUCAACCUGGGUGCUGCAUUUCAAACUGGAAGUCUAGAGUGCAGGAGAGGAGAAUGGAAUUCCUAGUGUAGCGGUGAAAUGCGUAGAGAUUAGGAAGAACACCAGUGGCGAAGGCGAUUCUCUGGACUGUAACUGACGCUGAGGCUCGAAAGCGUGGGGAGCAAACAGGAUUAGAUACCCU
Molecule: ribosomal RNA, 265 nt
Filed under: uncultured prokaryote
Description: partial 16S ribosomal RNA
Rfam family: Bacterial small subunit ribosomal RNA
Source: RNAcentral